RNAcentral lists this ribosomal RNA (577 nucleotides) under Rhodotorula mucilaginosa. Its description in RNAcentral is "eukaryotic LSU rRNA". The stretch from base 164 to 317 matches the Rfam family "5.8S ribosomal RNA". Lineage: Eukaryota; Fungi; Basidiomycota; Microbotryomycetes; Sporidiobolales; Sporidiobolaceae. The record is from RNAcentral.
AGGAUCAUUAGUGAAUAUAGGACGUCCAACUUAACUUGGAGUCCGAACUCUCACUUUCUAACCCUGUGCACUUGUUUGGGAUAGUAACUCUCGCAAGAGAGCGAACUCCUAUUCACUUAUAAACACAAAGUCUAUGAAUGUAUUAAAUUUUAUAACAAAAUAAAACUUUCAACAACGGAUCUCUUGGCUCUCGCAUCGAUGAAGAACGCAGCGAAAUGCGAUAAGUAAUGUGAAUUGCAGAAUUCAGUGAAUCAUCGAAUCUUUGAACGCACCUUGCGCUCCAUGGUAUUCCGUGGAGCAUGCCUGUUUGAGUGUCAUGAAUACUUCAACCCUCCUCUUUCUUAAUGAUUGAAGAGGUGUUUGGUUUCUGAGCGCUGCUGGCCUUUACGGUCUAGCUCGUUCGUAAUGCAUUAGCAUCCGCAAUCGAACUUCGGAUUGACUUGGCGUAAUAGACUAUUCGCUGAGGAAUUCUAGUCUUCGGACUAGAGCCGGGUUGGGUUAAAGGAAGCUUCUAAUCAGAAUGUCUACAUUUUAAGAUUAGAUCUCAAAUCAGGUAGGACUACCCGCUGAACUUAAG